GCGGAUGUAGAUCAGCUGGCUAGAGCACCACGUUGCCAAGGUGGGGGUGGCGGGUUCGAAUCCCGUCAUCCGCU
This 74-nucleotide transfer RNA is filed under the name Alteromonadaceae bacterium. Its description in RNAcentral is "tRNA-Gly". It matches the Rfam family "tRNA". From Rfam's summary of the family: Transfer RNA (tRNA) molecules are approximately 80 nucleotides in length. Their secondary structure includes four short double-helical elements and three loops (D, anti-codon, and T loops). Further hydrogen bonds mediate the characteristic L-shaped molecular structure. tRNAs have two regions of fundamental functional importance: the anti-codon, which is responsible for specific mRNA codon recognition, and the 3' end, to which the tRNAs corresponding amino acid is attached (by aminoacyl-tRNA synthetases). tRNAs cope with the degeneracy of the genetic code in two manners: having more than one tRNA (with a specific anti-codon) for a particular amino acid; and 'wobble' base-pairing, i.e. permitting non-standard base-pairing at the 3rd anti-codon position. The record is from RNAcentral. Lineage: Bacteria; Pseudomonadati; Pseudomonadota; Gammaproteobacteria; Alteromonadales; Alteromonadaceae.